This 493-nucleotide ribosomal RNA is filed under the name uncultured bacterium. RNAcentral describes it as "bacterial SSU rRNA". It matches the Rfam family "Bacterial small subunit ribosomal RNA", at positions 28 to 517 of the family's 1533-position model. The record is from RNAcentral.
GAUGAACGCUAGCGGCAGGCCUAAUACAUGCAAGUCGAGGGGCAGCACGGGUAGCAAUACCUGGUGGCGACCGGCGCACGGGUGCGUAACACGUAUACAAUCUGCCUUUAACAGGGGGAUAGCCCGGAGAAAUCCGGAUUAAUACCCCAUAAUAUAUUGAGUGGCAUCACUUGAUAUUGAAAGCUCCGGCGGUUAAAGAUGAGUAUGCGCCUGAUUAGUUAGUUGGUGAGGUAACGGCUCACCAAGACGACGAUCAGUAGGGGAUCUGAGAGGACUACCCCCCACACGGAUACUGAGACACGGAUCCGACUCCUACGGGAGGCAGCAGUAAGGAAUAUUGGACAAUGCCCGCAAGGGUGAUCCAGCCAUGCCGCGUGCAGGAAGACGGCCCUAUGGGUUGUAAACUGCUUUUACACCGGAGAAAACCCCUUCUCGUGAGAAGGGCUGAUAGUAUGGUGAGAAUAAGCAUCGGCUAACUUCGUGCCAGCAGCCG